AGUGAACGUUGGCGGCGUGGAUUAGGCAUGCAAGUCGAGCGAGAACCGUAGCAAUAUGGGGACAGCGGCGAAAGGGGCAGUAAUGUGUAGGUACCUACCUCCGGGUUCGGGAUAGCUGCGGGAAACUGCAGGUAAUACCGAAUAACGUCUCCGGACCAAAGGUGUGAUUCCACCUGGAGAGGGGCCUGCAUCCUAUUAGCUUGUUGGCGGGGUAACGGCCCACCAAGGCGACGAUGGGUAGCGGGUGUGAGAGCACGACCCGCGUCAUUGGGACUGAGACACUGCCCAGACACCUACGGGUGGCUGCAGUCGUGAAUCUUCGGCAAUGGGCGCAAGCCUGACCGAGCGACGCCGCAUGCGGGAUGAAGGCCUUCGGGUUGUAAACCGCUGUCGUAGAGGAGGAAAUGCAGGGGGGUUCUCCCCUCUGUUUGACCUAUUCUAGGAGGAAGUACGGGCUAAGUUCGUGCCAGCCGCCGCAGUAA
This 482-nucleotide ribosomal RNA is filed under the name uncultured bacterium. RNAcentral describes it as "partial 16S ribosomal RNA". It matches the Rfam family "Bacterial small subunit ribosomal RNA", at positions 28 to 523 of the family's 1533-position model. The record is from RNAcentral.